GACGAACGCUGGCGGCGUGCCUAAUACAUGCAAGUUGAGCGCUGAAGGUUGGUACUUGUACCAACUGGAUGAGCAGCGAACGGGUGAGUAACGCGUGGGGAAUCUGCCUUUGAGCGGGGGACAACAUUUGGAAACGAAUGCUAAUACCGCAUAAAAACUUUAAACACAAGUUUUAAGUUUGAAAGAUGCAAUUGCAUCACUCAAAGAUGAUCCCGCGUUGUAUUAGCUAGUUGGUGAGGUAAAGGCUCACCAAGGCGAUGAUACAUAGCCGACCUGAGAGGGUGAUCGGCCAAAUUGGGACUGAGACACGGCCCAAACUCCUACGGGAGGCAGCAGUAGGGAAUCUUCGGCAAUGGACGAAAGUCUGACCGAGCAACGCCGCGUGAGUGAAGAAGGUUUUCGGAUCGUAAAGCUCUGUUGGUAGAGAAGAACGUUGGUGAGAGUGGAAAGCUCAUCAAGUGACGGUAACUAACCAGAAAGGGACGGCUAACUACGUG
RNAcentral lists this ribosomal RNA (497 nucleotides) under uncultured bacterium. RNAcentral describes it as "partial 16S ribosomal RNA". It matches the Rfam family "Bacterial small subunit ribosomal RNA", at positions 28 to 507 of the family's 1533-position model. The record is from RNAcentral.